UUUAACUUGAGAGUUUGAUCCUGGCUCAGAGCGAACGCUGGCGGCAUGCUUAACACAUGCAAGUCGAACGAGGUCCCCGGGCUUGCCCGGGAUCACCGAGUGGCGAACGGGUGAGUAACGCGUGGGAACCUGCCUUGCGGCGGGGAAUAACUGUUGGAAACGACAGCUAAUACCGCAUACGCUCUAAGGAGGAAAGGCUUCGGCCACCGCUAGAGGGUCCCGCGUCCGAUUAGCUUGUUGGUGAGGUAAUGGCUCACCAAGGCGACGAUCGGUAGCUGGUCUGAGAGGAUGAUCAGCCACACUGGGACUGAGACACGGCCCAGACUCCUCCGGGAGGCAGCAGUGAGGAAUUUUCCGCAAUGGGCGAAA
This 369-nucleotide ribosomal RNA is filed under the name Rhodospirillaceae bacterium. RNAcentral describes it as "bacterial SSU rRNA". It matches the Rfam family "Bacterial small subunit ribosomal RNA", at positions 1 to 380 of the family's 1533-position model. Lineage: Bacteria; Pseudomonadati; Pseudomonadota; Alphaproteobacteria; Rhodospirillales; Rhodospirillaceae. The record is from RNAcentral.